GUGUCAGCAGCCGCGGUAAUACGUAGGGAGCGAGCGUUGUCCGGAUUCAUUGGGCGUAAAGAGCUCGUAGGCGGCUUGGUAAGUCGGAUGUGAAACCUCCAGGCUCAACCUGGAGUCGCCAUCCGAUACUGCUAUGGCUAGAGUCCGGUAGGGGCCCACGGAAUUCCUGGUGUAGCGGUGAAAUGCGCAGAUAUCAGGAGGAACACCGAUGGCGAAGGCAGUGGGCUGGGCCGGCACUGACGCUGAGGAGCGAAAGCGUGGGGAGCGAACAGGAUUAGAAACCCCGGUAGUCC
This 293-nucleotide ribosomal RNA is filed under the name uncultured bacterium. RNAcentral's name for it is "partial 16S ribosomal RNA". It matches the Rfam family "Bacterial small subunit ribosomal RNA", at positions 505 to 796 of the family's 1533-position model. The record is from RNAcentral.